This 449-nucleotide ribosomal RNA is filed under the name uncultured bacterium. RNAcentral describes it as "partial 16S ribosomal RNA". It matches the Rfam family "Bacterial small subunit ribosomal RNA", at positions 338 to 795 of the family's 1533-position model. The record is from RNAcentral.
CCUACGGGAGGCUGCAGUAAGGAAUAUUGGUCAAUGGACGCAAGUCUGAACCAGCCAUGCCGCGUGGAGGAUGAAGGUCCUCUGGAUUGUAAACUUCUUUUAUUUGGGAAGAAACUCCCGAUUUCCAUCGGGAUUGACGGUACCAGAUGAAUAAGCACCGGCUAACUCCGUGCCAGCAGCCGCGGUAAUACGGAGGGUGCAAGCGUACUGCGGAUUCAGUGGGCGUAGGUGGUGAGUUAAGGCACAGGUAAAAUCUCCGGGCUUAACCCGGAAACUGCCAUUGAUACUAUUUGUCUUGAAUACGGUGGAGGUGAGCGGAAUAUGUCAUGUAGCGGUGAAAUGCUUAGAUAUGACAUAGAACACCCAUUGCGAAGGCAGCUCACUACGGAAAUAUUGACGCUGAGGCACGAAAGCGUGGGGAUCAAACAGGAUUAGAUACCCCGGUAGUC